ACUCUGUCUCUUUUAUUUUCUUUUUAAUUUACUUAAGGAAUGCAAAUUUUCCUAUUAAAAUAAUAGACGAGAAGACCCUUAGAAUUAUAAUAAUAAGUAUUAUAUUAAUACCUUUUUUUUGUUGGGGCAACAGGGUAACAAUUUUUUAAACUAUUUGAUUUAACUUGAGUAACUAGCCGAAUUUUUUUAUGAUCGAUUUAAUUACCUUAGGGAUAACAGCAUAAUUUUUUAAAAGUUUGUGACCUCGAUGUUGGAUUAG
This 259-nucleotide ribosomal RNA is filed under the name Phaedusa stenothyra. Its description in RNAcentral is "partial 16S ribosomal RNA". The record is from RNAcentral. Lineage: Eukaryota; Metazoa; Mollusca; Gastropoda; Stylommatophora; Clausiliidae.